Molecule: long non-coding RNA, 3374 nt
Filed under: Homo sapiens (human)
Lineage: Eukaryota; Metazoa; Chordata; Mammalia; Primates; Hominidae
Description: HSALNT0283097
Source: RNAcentral
UGGGGAAGGACUGUGGCAGUCAGGAGACUCAAGUGCUAGACUCAGCUUUGCCUCCAAGGAGUUUGUGGUCCUGGGCAAGUCUCUCCCACUCUCUGGAUCCCAGCUUUCCUGGCUGGACAGCAAGGACUCUAAGUAACUCUAUGAGAUGGACACAACAAGGAUUCUUAAUUGCCCACCAUUACAGACUUGAACACUGAAGCCCAGAGAUUGAAAGACUUCUGCUUAAAGUAGCACAGCCAAACAAGACAAGAAUCCAAGGCUCCUGACUAGAAGAGCAGGUCAGGCAAAGACAGAAUUGCAAAAACAGAGGUUGCAACCAAAGUAAAAGGAGUUACAGUAUGAUAUUAGAAAGAAGUUCCUGGAGAUAAUUGACAUGAAGACAUCACUGGCCUGUUACACGUACUUUAUUUGUCCUCUUCUUUUUAGCACAACUUCUGCACUUCAUCCAACCUGUUGUUUUGUCCAUGCAGAGCUGGGCAAAGAUAGAAGCAGUACCUUAAUGAGCACCCCAUCAUGGGAGGUGUACAAGCAGAAGCUGAAUGACCCUUUGGCAAGGGAUUCCUGAAUCAAAUGGGAGGUUGCCCUGGAUGACCUUUCAACUUCCCUCCCAAGUCUGGUAACCCAGGCAUCAGUGAUUCCACAAUGUUCUCUCACUUUCCCAUCUCUGGGCCUUCUUUCAUGCUCAGUAUCUUGGAUGCACCUCCCCUGCCAACCAGCCCAUUCAAACUGUCAUGACUGUUCAAGAUCUGGCACCAGGCACACCACCUUUAGAAAGCUUUCCAGGAAUACCUCCAGGCCCUGAUUUUGUCAUCUUUCAUUUGAUUCCUAUAGCACUACGAUUUCACUGUCUCGAUUAAAAAUGAUCUUUUUAUUUCCUGGAUGUUACGGGCUGAAUUGUUUUCCCCCAAAAUUUAUAUGUUGAAGUCCUUCCAGUACCUCAGAAUCUGAUGACUCGGAGAAGACAGUCAUCUAAACAGCAAGCCAAGGAGAGAGGCCUCAGAAGACCCAACCCCACUGAUACCUUGUUCUCAGACUUCUGGCCUCCAGGAUUAUAAGAAACUCAAUUUCUGUUGUUUAAGCCACAGAGUCUGUGGUAUUUUGUUAUGGCACAGCCCUAGCGAACUAACACAAUGGUCAUAUGAACAUUUUACUGUCCCCUUUCACUUAAAUGGCAUUAUGUGUUUUUGAAGCAGUGGCAAUGAAUUACUAAUUUCUGCAUCUUCUACAACAGUGACUGGCACAUAGUAAAUACCCAAUAAAAACUUGGAAUUUUUUGAUGGAUGCAUUCAUUCAACAUUAUCAUUUAGCCCCUGUGUGCCAGGCAUUGUGACAGAUGCUCAGGAUACAAGACAAAGUUCCUCAUGGACCUUACAAUCUACUUACAGAAGAGAGAUAGACAAUAAAUAAGUAAACAAACAAAAAUAUUUAGAGAUUGUAAUAUGUGCUCUGAAGGAUAUAAACCAAUUUAUGUGAUGUGAGUAGCCCUGGAAUUGUGGAAAGUAUCUGUGCCGGUCAUGGUCCAAUCAGGAAAAUAAAAACCACCCUAGGUCUUUUAAACUGCGAGCAUUUAAUGCAUGACACUUACAGAGCUAACAAGCCAGACAGAGGAUGAGGAUGCAGCAACCUAGCAUUUAACAAACACAGAAAGCUGCUACCACUCGUAGGGAUGGACGGAUAACAGAUGAAGCCAUGCAGAAGCUAAAAUCAUGGGUUGGACAGCCUAUUGGAAGCAGGUGCCAUGAAUGGAAGAGUUGUUCAAGAGGAGCUGGAGCCAUGGAGGAAUACAGCUACCACCAGAAAACACCUCUCUGAUACAGGUGGUGGGAGAAAUACCCUGGGUUCUCCCUUCCUCCUAGCCACCAAUCUCCUGUACAUGUCUCCCAUUGGACAAAAGAAGUGAGAAAGCAAGGAAAUCUAACAAAUGUAAUUUUCAGGAGAAGAGUGGAGAAUGGAUCUGGAUGCAAACAGGCCAGUGUUAAUAUAAAGCCUAGGGACUCCUGCAAAAAACAGGUGCCUAGAGACUCCUGCAAAAAACGUGUUGAUCCCAGAGGUGUAAAUAGAUGCUGUUGAAUCCAGUCAUUAUGUCUUGAGCACCUAUUUGCCUAGAACCAUAUGAGUAGUUAGAGGAGACAUAAUGUAGUUGGUAGGGCAUAAUCUCUGAAGUCAGAACAACUUGGAUUGUAUUCAGUUAUUGGCUUUGCCACUUACUUGGGCAGAUUAUUCAAUGUUCUAUGCCCUGACAGUUUCUUUAUCUGUGAAUAGGGCUGACAAGAUAGUUACAAAGAUUUGAUAAAUUUGUCCAAGGAAAGUACUUAGCACAGGGCCUGGAAGCCAGUAAGAAUUCAGGACAGGACAAUAGAAAUCUGGAAAAGGGGUUUCCAUAAUCUCUGUGUUCACUCUCUUGAAGUCCUGUGAUCUCCCAGAAGCCUCUUUGGUACCUAGCCAGGCACCAGCUCUCCACUCUAGUAGAGGGCCAUGAGCAAAAUGAAGAGAAAGACAGUCAUGUCCCAGCUUAUCUGUGACUCAGGUUCUCCAGUCAUACAAUGAACACACUAAUUGUGUACCUAAGAGUGUUAAAGAAUCACUGAUCCAUAGAUAUCAGAGUUGGCCUUAAUAAUUGUAAAGAUUAUUUCCUCCAACAGUCUCAUUUUACUGAUGAGAAGAUAUAGCCCCAGGGAAUGGAAGGAGCUCCCAAAGUCACAAAGUAAGUUAGUGGCUGAGCUGGGAUAAAAACUCAAACCCUUGAUUCUCCAGUGAGUGGAGUGCAGUAGUGAAAACGGGUAAAUACUGAAAGGACACAACUACUAUAAUUCCAAAUAUUGGAGGCCCAAGACUAACGUGUAUAUUAUAAACUCUUAUCUUUACAAAGCAAUAUUUCGUACAUACAUUACUACCUAUUUUUAUUUAUUCAUAAAAUCAAUAAAUAUGUGUGCCUACAAUGUGCCAGGUAUAGUAUGUUAAGCACUGAUGCCAUAGCAGUGAACAAGAUGGACAGAGUUCAUGCCCUCAUUUCUAUUCAAUAAACAACUAAAUCUGGUAAGCAAAUGUGCUAAUACAGAUGGUGAUAAGUGCUAUAAAAGAAAGAAAGUGAAGGGAUAGAGUAACUCUGGGGGAGGAAAGGGAGUUUAGAUAAGGAAGGCUUCUCCAAGGAGAAGGUAUUCAAAUUAAGGCCUAAAGGCUUAAGGCGAGCCAGCCAUGUAAGAGGUAGGGGGAAAGUAUUCCAGGCACAGAAAACAGAAAGUACAGAAGCCCAAAGGAUUGAACUGGCAUGUAAUGUUGCAGGAAUUAGAAGCGCAAUGAGGCUGAAACCUAGAAAGAAAGAGGGAGAAUGAUAGGAGACAAAUUUGACAGAAGCCAGGUCAUAUAAAGCCUUG